Molecule: unclassified non-coding RNA, 287 nt
Filed under: uncultured Piloderma
Lineage: Eukaryota; Fungi; Basidiomycota; Agaricomycetes; Atheliales; Atheliaceae
Description: sequence contains ITS2
Rfam family: 5.8S ribosomal RNA (bases 1-52)
Source: RNAcentral
AACGCACCUUGCGCCCCUUGGUAUUCCGAGGGGCAUGCCUGUUUGAGUGUCAUUAAAUUCUCAACUCUGAUUUGAUUUGUUUCUUAUCGGGGCUUGGACUUGGAGUGUGCUGGCAAUCUGGUCGGCUCCUCUCAAAUGCAUCAGCGGAAUCUAACCUUUGAUUUCCGGAAGUCGGUGUGAUAAUUAAGUUGCGCCGUCAUUCGACUUUGAAGUCCGCUUAUAAUGGUCUUCGGACAACUCUUAUAAAAUUUGACCUCAAAUCAGGUAGGACUACCCGCUGAACUUAA